AGCAGUCGCCACGGGAAUACAGAGGGUGCGAGCGUUAAUCGGAUUUACUGGGCGUAAAGCGUGCGUAGGCGGCUUUUUAAGUCGGAUGUGAAAUCCCUGAGCUUAACUUAGGAAUUGCAUUCGAUACUGGGAAGCUAGAGUAUGGGAGAGGAUGGUAGAAUUCCAGGUGUAGCGGUGAAAUGCGUAGAGAUCUGGGGGAAUACCGGUGGCGAAGGCGGCCCCCUGGACAAAGACUGACGCUCAGGUGCGAAAGCGUGGGGAGCAAACAGGAUUAGAUACCCCCGUAGUCCCUGUCUCUUAUAC
Molecule: ribosomal RNA, 303 nt
Filed under: uncultured bacterium
Lineage: Bacteria
Description: partial 16S ribosomal RNA
Rfam family: Bacterial small subunit ribosomal RNA
Source: RNAcentral